GCCUGGGUGGCUCAGUUGGUUGAGCGUCUGACUUCGGCUCAGGUCAUGAUUUCACAGUUCAUGGGUUCAAGCCCCGCGUCAUGCU
Felis catus (domestic cat) is the source of this 85-nucleotide non-coding RNA. Lineage: Eukaryota; Metazoa; Chordata; Mammalia; Carnivora; Felidae. The record is from Rfam.